Long non-coding RNA from Cuculus canorus (common cuckoo), 1116 nucleotides. RefSeq lists it as uncharacterized. Lineage: Eukaryota; Metazoa; Chordata; Aves; Cuculiformes; Cuculidae. The transcript is spliced from 4 exons. The record is from RefSeq and is a predicted model, not a curated record.
GGCUGCAUACACACAGACUGCUCCUGAUGACUACAGUGGAAAUUAUUAUGUGGGCACUUGGCUUGUCUUUGCAGCCUGCUGCUGCAAACAGUGAUCUGGAACGUAGCUGCUGUCAAGUCUCCUGACACUGUUUGACUCAGAUUCUGGUUUCCUCCAUGGAAGAUAUUCUCUGCAAUUAAUUUCACCAGAAUUCACACAAAGGAAUCACCUUCUGGGAACCACAAAAUUGGCAUGGUAUUAAGAAAAGACUUACAGAUCCUCCUUGAGGAGCAGCCUGCCGUUGUGGGUCAUAGUGUAUACCUGGCAGAACAAUGUCUUUCCGUCAUGCUAAUGUGGAGCAAAAAGCGAAGGAGGUGGGCUCCCAGAGACCAACUGCCAAGACAUCAACAAGAAAGCCACGGAAUUUUACAGCCAGCUGAUUUGUUCCUGACAGACCAUUGAAGGAACCAAAGACCAAGCUUACCGCUCUGAGGAUCUGAGGGCAGUGGGGAGAGAGGAAGAAGUGGGAGGAGUUACUUGAGGCUGGAUUUUCAAAGGUUGUUCUCAGAUGCACUAUCAGGCUGCUGCAUAUGUCUGGGCAGGUAUCUGAGCAAUGCCCUCUGCUGCUGAUGGUCUUGGAGUGGCAAGAGAAGGUGGACUAGAGAAGGGUGCAAUACAUCUUUCUAUAUGUCAAGAAGCUAAUCAGCAUGGUCUGGAAAGCUUUCUGAACUGUUGGGUGGAAGCAUCCAGAGCCCCUGUGGAACUAGGGUCUCCUUUUAGGUAGCUCUACUCUUAUGGCAGAUCAUUGAAAGACACUGAAUUUUGGGUCAGAGUCGUUCCAUUCCUUCACAGAGGGAGAACCUUGCCUCCUCCUUCUGCAAGAAGAACCUUACUGUUCUUUACAGCUAAGAUCUCAAGCAAAACACAGAGCAAGAUUCCAGCAAGAUUUUGGAUCAUGCUGCCUGAAUUAAAGGGAAACUGAACACUUAAAAUGUAGUAUGCUUUCAUAAGUGGCCAUAUUUGUAUUGGCUGGCCGGAGAGACACAAAAGGUACAUUCAGUUGCUGAUCCAGUAACCACUGUACCAUUUAUGGUAAAACACAAGAUGAUGUAUUUAUAUUUUAUGAAGUAUAGCAAU